This 73-nucleotide transfer RNA is filed under the name Camelus bactrianus (Bactrian camel). It matches the Rfam family "tRNA". Rfam says of the family: Transfer RNA (tRNA) molecules are approximately 80 nucleotides in length. Their secondary structure includes four short double-helical elements and three loops (D, anti-codon, and T loops). RNAcentral also lists the same sequence under 2 other names. The record is from Rfam by way of RNAcentral. Lineage: Eukaryota; Metazoa; Chordata; Mammalia; Artiodactyla; Camelidae.
GAAGGUAUAGCUCAAGUGGCAGAGUGCAUGCUUAGCAUGCACGAGGUUCUGGGUUCAAUCCCCAGUACCUCCU